Molecule: long non-coding RNA, 2255 nt
Filed under: Canis lupus familiaris (dog)
Lineage: Eukaryota; Metazoa; Chordata; Mammalia; Carnivora; Canidae
Description: lncRNA (ENSCAFG00805015980.1, ENSCAFG00845016812.1)
Source: RNAcentral
AGGAGACAUAGGCAGAGGGAGAAGCAGGCUCCAUGCACCAGGAGCCCGAUGUGGGAUUCGAUCCCAGGUCUCCAGGAUCGUGCCCUGGGCCAAAGGCAGGUGCCAAACCGCUGCGCCACCCAGGGAUCCCGGGGAUCUGUUUUCUAUAUUGCAGUUUGGCAUAGGAUUUUGUUCAAAGAAAAGGUUCUGCUGCUAACAGCUGUUUGAAACCUAUUGUAUCAUGCUAUAAUGCCUCAUGAGUCUAAUGUCAAGAAGGCUCCUCUUCUACAUUAUCCAAAGUUUUGCCAGGUUAUCUUCCUAUCAUCUAGUCUAGGCCUGUUCAUUGCCUCAGGCUCUUCUUCUGGAUAGAAAAAAUAGGGAGAUUAGCUAUCAGGACCUCUGUCAGAAAACCAUCAGGACCCAACUCCAAGCACUAUAGGAUUCUCUCCCGCCCUCUGCAUAGGUCAUGGAUAUAGUAAAUGCCCUUUCCCACACAACACUUUACACAGCACAGAAACAACUGCAGCUCUUAAUUUCUCUCCAUAAUGUGAACAGUAUACCAUUGAAGGCUGCAGUCCACCUGGCAUCCUCUACUGCCUGUUCCACCAAGUUAAUACCAAGGACCUGGGAGAUAUACUGAACCAGAGAGAGACCAAUCACACCUAAGGAAAUAAGAGGAUUUUAAGCCAGUGAUGUUAUGCCUGCACAACUACUAUUACUUCCCCAUCUGGGCCCUGGGUGUGGGGGGAAUGGAAGGUAAGCAGCAUGUAGAUUCUGCCCUGGGCUGCCACUCGCUAGUUCCACAGCAGAUAUCGAGGAGGAUGGUGUUAGAGUUCACUCAGCUCCCUCACUGUCCGAUACAGCACCUCUGCACCAGCAUUAUUAAUCUGGAAAAAGGCUUCUGGAGAGAUACAGAUCUUCAAGCCCAAGAGAUCUUCAAAGAGAUGGGGUUCCCCAAAUAGGAGCUGAUAGGGGGACUGCUGAUGGCUGCAAUGCAUCAUGGUGCUGGAAAACAACUUUUAAAAAAGCAUUUUAGAAUAGUAGACCAUUCUAUCUCUAGUGUUUUGGAGGGGCGGGCAGCAUCUCAGCCAAGAGACACAGCCUCCAUGGCAUGGCCCUGAGAGGUCUGUAGGAAUUACCUCUCAGGGGAUGGAGAUAUAUGCACACACUCCCUCAUCUAAAUUUGGCCUGGGUUCCCAGACCUGGCUGCUGUACAAGGACUGCUACCACUUACCCCAGUUCUCCACAGUCAGCAGCCCUGCCUCAGCAAGCAACAACUCAGAAUAUAGCAAGCCAUUGGCUUCUUGCUCUGUUUGGCUACCCCAGGUUUACCUUUCCUGAAAGUAAAGGGAUGUCAAAUCACAGACUGCUCCUGGCCCAGUGGUGAAAAACUUUAGAGUCUCUCUGAAUACUGAGCUCCUCCUGCCCAGAUCACAAAAUCAGUAGCCAAGCAAAGACUCAUCUCUGACAAAUUUUCUCUCCAAGCUCUAUAAAACUCAGCCCUGCAGUAGUCAGACAAGAAAGCACAUUUCUCAAAUCCUAUUAUAAAUGACACUUAACAUAAAGCAAUGUUCUAUGUGACAAAAAAUACACCAUUUUCACAUCUCAGAAGCACUGCUUUGCUUAUCAGCUUUUGACAAAUCCUAUACAAUAGACAUGCUACUUUCUCCAGUUUGAGCCUUCUUAAUAGUUUUCUAAAGAAAGUGUGAGAGUUAUCCAUAUUAUAAACAAGGAGCUAAACUAAGCUUUUGCCCUAUUAUGAAGACGCAAUAACCCUUUAUACUUCUCUGCUUCAAAUAUCCCAAUCACCCACCCAAACGCCUCGAAGAUGUGAGUCCUUAAAGAAAAGAAAGAGGGCAUAGAAGGGAAUCAUCACGGUAACUAAAUUCUUUCUUUGAAUUCAGAACAGUUUAAAAUUCUUACAUGACUGCAGAGAGCCUAAAUAUUAGCUUGACACAGGAUAUAUCACAAUAAACUAUGUUGGAGCUCUAGAGUUAAAAGGCCAAGAAUUGUAUUUUGGGGGUAAAUACCCAGUAGUGUGAUUACUGGAUCAUAGGGUAGUUCUAUUUUUAACUCUUUGAAGACCCUCCAUACUGUUUUCCACAGUAGCCAUACCAGUUUACAUUCCUACCAACCGUACAAAAGGGUUCCCUUUUCUCCAUAUCCUUGCCAACACUUGUUGUUUCUUGUACUUUUUAUUUUAGCCAUUCUGACACAUAUGAGGGGAUACCUCAUUGUGGUUUUCAUGUGCAUUUCCCUGAUGAUGAGGGAUAUUA